RNAcentral lists this ribosomal RNA (324 nucleotides) under uncultured bacterium. RNAcentral's name for it is "bacterial SSU rRNA". It matches the Rfam family "Bacterial small subunit ribosomal RNA", at positions 28 to 334 of the family's 1533-position model. The record is from RNAcentral.
GACGAACGCUGGCGGCGUGCCUAACACAUGCAAGUCGAACGAAGCUUGAAGAUUGAUUCUUCGGAUGAAAUCUGAUAUGACUGAGUGGCGGACGGGUGAGUAACGCGUGAGCAACCUGCCCUUCGGAGGGGGAUAGUGUCUGGAAACGGACAGUAAUACCGCAUAACGUAUUUUUACCGCAUGAUAGAAAUACCAAAACUGAGGUGCCGAAGGAUGGGCUCGCGUUGGAUUAGAUAGUUGGUGGAGGUAACGGCCCACCAAGGCAACGAUCGGUAGCCGGACUGAGAGGUUGAACGGCCACAUUGGGACUGAGACACGGCCCAG